AUAGCGUAUAUUAAAGUUGUUGCAGUUAAAAAGCUCGUAGUUGAAUUUUGGGUUUGAUUAGGUGGUCUUUACGUAUGUAAUGUACUACUUUGAUCGAAUCUUUCCUUCUAGCGAACUAUAGUGUUAUUAAUUUAAUGCUAUAGGGAACUAGGACUUUUACUUUGAAAAAAUUAGAGUGUUUAAAGCAGGCUUACGCUUGAAUACAUUAGCAUGGAAUAAUAAAAUAGGACUUUGGUUUUAUUUUGUUGGUUUCUAAGACCGAAGUAAUGAUUAAUAGGGUCAGUUGGGGGCAUUAGUAUUUAAUCGUCAGAGGUGAAAUUCUUGGAUUGAUUAAAGACUAACUUCUG
Molecule: ribosomal RNA, 347 nt
Filed under: uncultured eukaryote
Lineage: Eukaryota
Description: SSU rRNA
Rfam family: Eukaryotic small subunit ribosomal RNA
Source: RNAcentral